RNAcentral lists this ribosomal RNA (246 nucleotides) under uncultured bacterium. RNAcentral describes it as "partial 16S ribosomal RNA". It matches the Rfam family "Bacterial small subunit ribosomal RNA", at positions 531 to 776 of the family's 1533-position model. The record is from RNAcentral.
GGUGCAAACGUUGUUCGGAAUUACUGGGCGUAAAGCGCGUGUAGGCGGUUUGGUAAGUCGGAUGUGAAAGCCCUGGGCUCAACCCAGGAAGUGCAUUCGAUACUGUCAAGCUAGAGUAUCGGAGAGGUUGGUGGAAUUCUCGGUGUAGAGGUGAAAUUCGUAGAUAUCGAGAGGAACACCCGUGGCGAAAGCGGCUCUCUGGGACGGUACUGACGCUGAGACGCGAAAGCGUGGGGAGCGAACAGG